Ictalurus punctatus (channel catfish) is the source of this 1116-nucleotide long non-coding RNA. Lineage: Eukaryota; Metazoa; Chordata; Actinopteri; Siluriformes; Ictaluridae. The record is from Ensembl.
CUAAGCAUGGGUCAGUUUGGUGUUUUUAAAGUGUGAAAAAAGUACAGUGUAGUGUAAGAAGUGGGUAUUGCCUGUUUGUCAGGGUCAAGAUUGCUUGACAUAAUGAUAUAUUAUUGCCAUUGCUGGCCAAUGGAUGUAAAGGGCAGUAAUAAUAGAAUCACAGUGCUUGAAAAUAACCAUUCGUGGAGCACUUUUUCUUCCAGAUGAAGUCGAAUGCAAGGCCUAGAUCUUUGGCAUAUUCCUCUUCAUAUCCCACCAAGAGCUCCUGUCCUGGUUUGAUGGCUUGACAGCAACGGUACAGAAUUCCUCCUCUAUAUUGGCAUGCCAUGAGAUUCUGCUCUUCAUCGUUACGAGCACAAUUCACAUAUCUGAGAUAAUGAGACAGAAAGACAGCACAAGAGAGAACAGAUGGAAGAGAAAGAGAUGGGAAGACACCAGUUAGAAGCAAGGGGCAGACAAAGAUUUUCUAUUAAUAAAUAACUAGACAGUUGACCCAACAGACAGACCACCAAAGUAUUUCUUACCUCAUCCAGUUAGCAUACAUCUCUCUCUUGGCAUCUAUGUAUUCCUCAUAUUGCUUGUUCUUAUAUCACCCAGGAGUAGCCACUGUUCACUGCUUCUUCUCUGUCCACCAGAUCUCCCUGGUAGGGCCCAAAGUGUGCACCAACAGGAACAGUCUCCCCCUUAUUAAACACUCCCAGACCUGCAUCAGGAAUACCAGACUGCCGAACCUCUAGACAAGGUGGAAGGGUCUGUCUGGCUCGGUCAAUGACCCCCAUAGUAACAGGUGUAUCAAUGAUGAAGUGAGCUGGACCGUGAACUUCACAUUUGUUGAUGUAAAAGGAUCUGCAAUCUUCACAAUCUGGAAGAAGAGGACACAACUAAUUCUCAACCUAUUUUAUUUCUACUUCCUUUAUUGCUAGGCUUCUUACUUCGUAAUUACAAAAUGAUGUCAUGCUUUGACAUCCUCUUUUCUUAAUCUUUACUUAGUUUUAGUGUACAAUCUGCUUGGCUCUGUUGGAUUCAUUAUCGUCUAGAUCAGUGUUUCUCAGUUCUGGCCCUGCCAUCCCUCUGCCCUGCACAUUUUGGAACUUUCCCAGAUCUACAAGAGAUGAG